Molecule: ribosomal RNA, 492 nt
Filed under: uncultured bacterium
Lineage: Bacteria
Description: partial 16S ribosomal RNA
Rfam family: Bacterial small subunit ribosomal RNA
Source: RNAcentral
AGUGAACGCUGGCGGUAGGCCUAACACAUGCAAGUCGAACGGCAGCACAGUAAGAGCUUGCUCUUACGGGUGGCGAGUGGCGGACGGGUGAGGAAUACAUCGGAAUCUACUUUUUCGUGGGGGAUAACGUAGGGAAACUUACGCUAAUACCGCAUACGACCUACGGGUGAAAGCAGGGGAUCUUCGGACCUUGCGCGAUUGAAUGAGCCGAUGUCGGAUUAGCUAGUUGGCGGGGUAAAGGCCCACCAAGGCGACGAUCCGUAGCUGGUCUGAGAGGAUGAUCAGCCACACUGGAACUGAGACACGGUCCAGACUCCUACGGGAGGCAGCAGUGGGGAAUAUUGGACAAUGGGCGCAAGCCUGAUCCAGCCAUACCGCGUGGGUGAAGAAGGCCUUCGGGUUGUAAAGCCCUUUUGUUAGGAAAGAAAAGCAGCAGGUUAAUACCCCGCUGUUCUGGCGGUACCCAAAGAAUAAGCACCGGCUAACUUCGUG